AAGAAUGGUGAACAUAAAGAGUCUCAGUCUC
RNAcentral lists this non-coding RNA (31 nucleotides) under Mus musculus (house mouse). Lineage: Eukaryota; Metazoa; Chordata; Mammalia; Rodentia; Muridae. The record is from RNAcentral.